This 1518-nucleotide ribosomal RNA is filed under the name metagenome. RNAcentral describes it as "bacterial SSU rRNA". It matches the Rfam family "Bacterial small subunit ribosomal RNA". The record is from RNAcentral.
AGAGUUUGAUCCUGGCUCAGGAUGAACGCUGGCGGCGUGCUUAACACAUGCAAGUCGAACGAAGCACUUUAUUUGAUUUCCUUCGGGACUGAUUAUUUUGUGACUGAGUGGCGGACGGGUGAGUAACGCGUGGGUAACCUGCCUUGUACAGGGGGAUAACAGUUGGAAACGGCUGCUAAUACCGCAUAAGCGCACAGCAUCGCAUGAUGCAGUGUGAAAAACUCCGGUGGUAUAAGAUGGACCCGCGUUGGAUUAGCUGGUUGGUGGGGUAACGGCCUACCAAGGCAACGAUCAGUAGCCGGUCUGAGAGGAUGAACGGCCACAUUGGAACUGAGACACGGUCCAGACUCCUACGGGAGGCAGCAGUGGGGAAUCUUCCGCAAUGGGCGCAAGCCUGACGGAGCAACGCCGCGUGAGUGAAGAAGGGUUUCGACUCGUAAAGCUCUGUUGUCGGGGACGAACGUGGAGACGGCGAAUAGCCGUUUCCAAUGACGGUACCUGACGAGGAAGCCACGGCUAACUACGUGCCAGCAGCUGCGGUAAUACGUAGGUGGCGAGCGUUGUCCGGAAUUAUUGGGCGUAAAGGGAGCGCAGGCGGGAAGGUAAGUCUAUCUUAAAAGUGCGGGGCUCAACCCCGUGAGGGGAUGGAAACUAUCUUUCUUGAGUGCAGGAGAGGAAAGCGGAAUUCCUAGAGUAGCGGUGAAAUGCGUAGAUAUUAGGAGGAACACCAGUGGCGAAGGCGGCUUUCUGGACUGUAACUGACGCUGAGGCUCGAAAGCGUGGGGAGCGAACAGGAUUAGAUACCCUGGUAGUCCACGCCGUAAACGAUGAAUGCUAGGUGUAGGAGGUAUCGACCCCUUCUGUGCCGGAGUUAACGCAAUAAGCAUUCCGCCUGGGGAGUACGGCCGCAAGGCUGAAACUCAAAGGAAUUGACGGGGGCCCGCACAAGCGGUGGAGUAUGUGGUUUAAUUCGACGCAACGCGAAGAACCUUACCAGGGCUUGACAUUGAGUGAAAGGACAAGAGAUUGUCCCCUCUCUUCGGAGACACGAAAACAGGUGGUGCAUGGCUGUCGUCAGCUCGUGUCGUGAGAUGUUGGGUUAAGUCCCGCAACGAGCGCAACCCCUAUUCUUUGUUGCCAGCACGUAAUGGUGGGAACUCAAAGGAGACUGCCGCGGACAACGCGGAGGAAGGCGGGGAUGACGUCAAGUCAUCAUGCCCCUUAUGUCCUGGGCUACACACGUACUACAAUGGGAUGGACAGAGAGCAGCAAAGCCGCGAGGCCAAGCGAACCCCAUAAACCAUCUCCCAGUUCGGAUUGCAGGCUGCAACCCGCCUGCAUGAAGUUGGAAUCGCUAGUAAUCGCAGGCCAGCAUACUGCGGUGAAUACGUUCCCGGGCCUUGUACACACCGCCCGUCACACCACGGAAGUCAUUCACACCCGAAGCCGGCAGGCUAACCUUUUGGAGGCAGCCGUCUAAGGUGGGGGCGAUGACUGGGGUGAAGUCGUAACAAGGUA